CCAGACUCCUACGGGAGGCAGCAGUGGGGGAUAUUGGACAAUGGGGGAAACCCUGAUCCAGCGAUGCCGCGUGAGGGAAGAAGGUUUUCGGAUUGUAAACCUCUGUGGACAGGGACGAUAAUGACGGUACCUGUCAAGAAAGCCACGGCUAACUACGUGCCAGCAGCCGCGGUAAUACGUAGGUGGCGAGCGUUGUCCGGAAUUAUUGGGUUUAAAGGGAGCGUAGGCCGGUCUUUAAGCGUGCCGUGAAAUUUUGUGGCUCAACCAUGAGAGUGCGGCGCGAACUGGAGACCUUGAGUGCGCGGAAGGCAGGCGGAAUUCGUGGUGUAGCGGUGAAAUGCUUAGAUAUCACGAAGAACCCCGAUUGCGAAGGCAGCCUGCCGCAGCGUUACUGACGCUGAAGCUCGAAAGCGCGGGUAUCGAACAGGAUUAGAUACCCUGGUA
RNAcentral lists this ribosomal RNA (444 nucleotides) under uncultured bacterium. Its description in RNAcentral is "bacterial SSU rRNA". It matches the Rfam family "Bacterial small subunit ribosomal RNA", at positions 331 to 792 of the family's 1533-position model. The record is from RNAcentral.